UGAGGAAUAUUGGUCAAUGGGCGGAAGCCUGAACCAGCCAAGUCGCGUGAGGGAAGACGGUCCUAUGGAUUGUAAACCUCUUUUGCAGGGGAGCAAGACUGUUACGUGUAACAGGUCGGAGAGUACCCUGAGAAAAAGCAUCGGCUAACUCCGUGCCAGCAGCCGCGGUAAUACGGAGGAUGCGAGCGUUAUCCGGAUUUAUUGGGUUUAAAGGGUGCGUAGGCGGGCUGGUAAGUCAGCGGUAAAAAUGCGGUGCUCAACGCCGUAGUGCCGUUGAAACUGCCGGUCUUGAGUGAGCGAGAAGUAUGCGGAAUGCGUGGUGUAGCGGGUGAAAUGCAUAGAUAUCACGCAGAACUCCGAUUGCGAAGGCAGCAUACCGGCGCUCAACUGACGCUGAGGCACGAAAGCGUGGGGAUCGAACAGGAUUAGAUACC
RNAcentral lists this ribosomal RNA (434 nucleotides) under uncultured bacterium. RNAcentral's name for it is "bacterial SSU rRNA". It matches the Rfam family "Bacterial small subunit ribosomal RNA", at positions 355 to 786 of the family's 1533-position model. The record is from RNAcentral.